CUCGAACUCUAAAACAUUCAUCAUGUCAAUUAUGUGAAAAAGUAAUCCGCUAAAUAACCUUCUUAUAUUUUGCAACAUAUUGCAAAAUCAAGGAUUAGAACCCUUGAUUCCUUCAACCAAAGGAGUUAUUUAACCAUGUGUUAGAUACCAUUUUUAUUAAACUAGCAAUUGAAAAAAACUUAUAAACUUCAGCUUCUAAGAUCUUCGUCUUUCCCACCGGAGUUCGACUCCAGUAAGUCGCGUUACCCCGCGUAGUAGGGAUUGGCUAUGAUUCGGGCCUUGUCGAUCCAAAGAUGUCAAAAGAAAAAAAAAGAUCUUCGUCUACCACUACCACGGCCAUCAUCGCUCCUCCGUCCUCAUCGCCAUUGACAUUAUUGUUAACUUUAUUAAACUAUGAUAAAUGACAUAUCAAAUCAAACUCCUCGCACUAAAGAAUUCAAAUUUUCUAUUUGAAAUUUAGAAACUCUAAAGAAUAUGGUCGUAAAGGCUCUUAAAAGUUUCAGAUUCUAAAAUCAACAUGCCCAAAAUAAAUAAAAACUAGUAGCCUUUGCUAAAGUUGACCUUCUGAAUGCAAAUUUGGUCUCAUUCAGCAAAAUCUCCGCGUACUAUUGCUAGCAACAUGUGACCUAGGUGCGGACCGUAGUUACUAUUCCUCGGGUAGUAAAAUAAUGUAGUCCACAAUCUAUAUAUACGAUAACAAUUUAUUUAAUAGAACAUAUACUUCGCCGACGUUACAGAAAUUUAUUAACGAAAACAACACUUGAUAAUUCUAAAAAACAAACAAACACCACAGCUUCGUUUAAAACAUUUAAUUAGAACGACACAAACAAAUGACACAUAUAGAGAACAUAUCAGGGAACAAAACACAUUUGUUAAUUACCUCCCACGCUUGCAUCUGUUGAAGGUAGUACAAGCCCUGGAAUUAUAUAUCUUACCCUGUUUGAUACAAGCUUCAUACGCAGAAGAAGUACAUAUCGCCGUAUGUUGCAAGGCCCUCGUGGAUAUGUAAUUAUUUCUCCCUGAAAGAGAAUCCCAAAAUUCAUCAGCUCCCCCAUCUUCAUGAACAGUGAGAUUUCCCCAGUCACUUAUCAUCUGCCCUGAGGUUACAACGCCAAGGAGCAAGAGAAGGACGAAGACUAUUGACUUCAUUUCUUCAAUUAUUUGUCUUUUUUUUUUUGUUUUUCUGUGGUGUGAGGAGUGAUGGAUAGGGAAGAUAGAUAUAGUGGUAGUAUGAUUACUUUGGUUGGUCCAUAUUUAAUAUGAACUAAAUGUAUCCCUGAG
This 1281-nucleotide long non-coding RNA is filed under the name Arabidopsis lyrata. RNAcentral's name for it is "long non-coding RNA (ALYR_LNC001100)". Lineage: Eukaryota; Viridiplantae; Streptophyta; Magnoliopsida; Brassicales; Brassicaceae. The record is from RNAcentral.